This 807-nucleotide ribosomal RNA is filed under the name uncultured bacterium. RNAcentral's name for it is "bacterial SSU rRNA". It matches the Rfam family "Bacterial small subunit ribosomal RNA", at positions 1 to 800 of the family's 1533-position model. The record is from RNAcentral.
GAAUUCGCCCUUAGAGUUUGAUCCUGGCUCAGGAUGAACGCUGGCGGCGUGCUUAACACAUGCAAGUCGAACGAAGCACUUUAGUUGAUUUCUUCGGAUUGAUUCUAAAGUGACUUAGUGGCGGACGGGUGAGUAACGCGUGGGUAACCUGCCUCGUACAGGGGGAUAACAGUUAGAAAUGACUGCUAAUACCGCAUAACCCGCUAGGGUCGCAUGACCCAGACGGAAAAGAUUUAUCGGUACGAGAUGGACCCGCGUCUGAUUAGCUAGUUGGUGGGGUAACGGCUCACCUAGGCGACGAUCAGUAGCCGGUCUGAGAGGAUGAACGGCCACAUUGGGACUGAGAUACGGCCCAGACUCCUACGGGAGGCAGCAGUGGGGAAUAUUGGGCAAUGGGGGAAACCCUGACCCAGCAACGCCGCGUGAAGGAAGAAGGCCUUCGGGUUGUAAACUUCUUUUACCAGGGACGAAGGACGUGACGGUACCUGGAGAAAAAGCAACGGCUAACUACGUGCCAGCAGCCGCGGUAAUACGUAGGUUGCAAGCGUUGUCCGGAAUUACUGGGUGUAAAGGGCGUGUAGGCGGAGCUGCAAGUCAGAUGUGAAAUCCCGGGGCUCAACCCCGGAACUGCAUUUGAAACUGCAGCCCUUGAGUAUCGGAGAGGCAAGCGGAAUUCCUAGUGUAGCGGUGAAAUGCGUAGAUAUUAGGAGGAACACCAGUGGCGAAGGCGGCUUGCUGGACGACAACUGACGCUGAGGCGCGAAAGCGUGGGGAGCAAACAGGAAUAGAUCCCCUGGUAGUCCACGC